UGGCUCAGACGGUAAAGUGUCUGUCUACAAUGCAGAAGACCCGGGUUCGAUCCCUGG
Molecule: transfer RNA, 57 nt
Filed under: Ovis aries (sheep)
Lineage: Eukaryota; Metazoa; Chordata; Mammalia; Artiodactyla; Bovidae
Rfam family: tRNA
About the family: Transfer RNA (tRNA) molecules are approximately 80 nucleotides in length. Their secondary structure includes four short double-helical elements and three loops (D, anti-codon, and T loops). Further hydrogen bonds mediate the characteristic L-shaped molecular structure. tRNAs have two regions of fundamental functional importance: the anti-codon, which is responsible for specific mRNA codon recognition, and the 3' end, to which the tRNAs corresponding amino acid is attached (by aminoacyl-tRNA synthetases). tRNAs cope with the degeneracy of the genetic code in two manners: having more than one tRNA (with a specific anti-codon) for a particular amino acid; and 'wobble' base-pairing, i.e. permitting non-standard base-pairing at the 3rd anti-codon position.
Source: Rfam by way of RNAcentral